Molecule: ribosomal RNA, 253 nt
Filed under: uncultured bacterium
Lineage: Bacteria
Description: partial 16S ribosomal RNA
Rfam family: Bacterial small subunit ribosomal RNA
Source: RNAcentral
UACGUAGGGGGCAAGCGUUGUCCGGAUUUAUUGGGCGUAAAGGGUUCGUAGGCGGUGCGGCAAGUUGGGAGUGAAAUCUCUGGGCUUAACCCAGAGGCUGCUUCCAAAACUGCUGUGCUUGAGUGUGGGAGAGGCGCGUGGAAUUGCAGGUGUAGCGGUGAAAUGCGUAGAUAUCUGCAGGAACACCCGUGGCGAAAGCGGCGCGCUGGACCACUACUGACGCUGAGGAACGAAAGCUAGGGGAGCAAACAGG